Molecule: small nucleolar RNA, 230 nt
Filed under: Bombyx mori (domestic silkworm)
Lineage: Eukaryota; Metazoa; Arthropoda; Insecta; Lepidoptera; Bombycidae
Description: Bm_161
Rfam family: Small nucleolar RNA U3
About the family: Small nucleolar RNAs (snoRNAs) are involved in the processing and modification of rRNA in the nucleolus.
Source: RNAcentral
AAAGACUUACUUCAUAGUGAUCCAUUUCUAUAGUCAAGCUCUUACCUGAGACACUUCACACUCACGUGAAUGCAUCGACAACCACGCAUGAGUGAGUGCUGUGGCGCUGGCACCCUGAACUGUGAGGCUGGUGCGAUGGUAGNUUGAACCAUCAAGCCUUCGAUGAUCGUUCGAUCCCCUUUCACGGGGGACGAGUGGGGUGUUUGUCGCUUGUCUUGACGAUGGUUUUA